GCACUGCUGACGAGUCCCAAACAGGACGAAACAGCUUGCAGUGC
This 44-nucleotide non-coding RNA is filed under the name Echinostoma caproni. Lineage: Eukaryota; Metazoa; Platyhelminthes; Trematoda; Plagiorchiida; Echinostomatidae. The record is from RNAcentral.